UUCUUCUGUCCUGUGGAAAAAACAUGCUUAACAUUAAUCUUGCUCUGUUAUGGCAGGCCAGUUAUUGAUCAGAAUCUGUAUUAUUUGGGAAUGAAGUACACAACAGCAACCUUUGCAGUUUCCAUGUACAAUAUCCUUCCUGCCAUCACUUUCCUCAUGGCUUACAUUCUUAAGUACUGUUUCUAUUCCCUACCAUUAAAGAAUAUUUCAGAUUUGAUAAAAAAGCUAAACAGAACAUAGCUCAAUAAUGAGGAUUAUUAAAUAAGUGUGCAUAACAUCUUUUAAUACAUGUUGUCACUCAAAAUUAUGUACAACUCAUCUCUUAUUAACUUGGUUUAGGAGGCUGAGUUUGUAAUCAGUGUUUUAAACUGUGAUUGCGGUACCGUCACGGUUGCGCUGCGGUCCUUUCUAUUGCAGAAAAUUGUGAAUAAAUGUGAUUGUCGCGACAAAAAUCACCGUCGCGUUACGUUUUGAAAACCUCCAAAACUUUGAUGUCGUGGCCGAUCACAGUCGCGAACCUUGAUUGAAAACCAUGCUUAUAAUUAAAAGAGUUUCUUGUGCCAUUUGUACUCAAUUUAUAAAAAAUUUAAUUUAAGCAUUUUAUUUUCAGGCUAGAGAAGAUAAAAAUAAAAAGUAUACGUAGUCAAGCAAAGGUGUUUGGGACUUUAGCCACUGUUGCAGGUGCCAUGGUGAUGACACUAAUAAAAGGCCCUGAACUUGAGCUUUUUGGGACUCAUGGAGGAAGCAGUACCCACAUCCAGCAUAAUGGUGGGGUAAACCUUCAACAUGCAAUAAAGGGAUCAGUGAUGAUCACAAUUGGGUGCUUUAGUUUUGCAGGUUUCAUGAUUCUCCAAGUGAGUUUUUCCUCUAUCAACUUUCAGCUAUGAAAAAAGUAAAUAUAGUGCUAUAAAGCUCCCGUUAUACUCGAGAUCUAGAGAGAGACCAGAUCAAUUUUUAAGAAUUUAAUAUUGGCAGUCUUAUACCUUGCAAAAAUGCAAGAGACUUAUUUCACGGCUCAAAUCUGUGAUCGACUGCAAAGUCACAUGACAACAACCUUACCAUUGCGUUGAGACUCGCACUCGUGUUUUUCAUCUAUCCAAAUAAAUAAAUUUUCUUUUAGUUUGAUGGGGUACCCUAAUCUGAUAUAGUUUCACUUUCAUCUUUUUCUCUAGGCUAUUACCCUUGAAGCCUACCCUGCUGAUCUCUCUCUCACAGCAUGGAUAUGUUUGUUGGGAACAGUUGAAGGUGGCAUAGUUGCCCUGGUUAUGGAAAGGGGUAACCCUGCUCCAGUUUGGUCUUUGAAUUGGAAUACAAGUUUGUUGGCUGCUGUCUACGGUGUAAGUUCUUUAAUUUUAUACUGAACAGUGAAAACUGAAAACAACCUCCAGUUCUUGACCAGCCAUAAAAUUAAAGAAUGCACAUUUACCACCGAUAGAGUUUAAGAAGAUAAUCCAAAAAAGUCCAUAGAAUCAACACUGAAAUCCAACUGCAUUAAAAAAAUAUACUAAAACAUAAAAGAGAUUUUGGAGGACAUGAAUUAUACAUGUCAACUGCUUCUUCAUGAAAUUUUCUUCUCACCAUAUUAGCAUCUUCCCUCCCAAUGUUUCAAGUUUAUAUAUGAAUAUAUGACAAAAGAGCUGUUGUGUUCGGAAGAGCUUACCUUAUAAUAUAAGCAUUUAAAUAAUUGUUUGAGUCAACCGACGAAAAUAAUUCAUUUGUUAUACACUUAUAUACUCUUUUGAGCUUAUUUUUAUAAGUUUCUUCAAAUAACAUAUGAAUAAGCACUUAUAUAUAUUUUUAAGCAGUUUUAAACUUAUUUUAAUAAGUUUUUAAAAAUAGGCUUAUGAAUAAUCAAGCACUUCCGUGAUAAGUACUUACUGGCAUAAAUACUUAAGCUGUUUGCCGUGAAUGUUCUUCCUCUAUAAAUUUCUAAAAUUUAUUUGCAGGGCAUAGUUUGCUCUGGAAUGACUUAUUACAUCCAAGGAGCAGUGAUGAAAUACAAAGGCCCAGUCUUUGUAACAACAUUCAGUCCUCUAUGCAUGAUCAUUGUGGCUAUACUGGGCUCUUUUAUUUUGGCUGAGCAAAUGUAUCUUGGAAGGUAAUCAUAAAUAUCGAGUACAACUAAUAAAUCAUCUUUUCUUGUUUAGUGUUUCCAUCACUGUUCAACUAAUAAAAUUGUGUCAUGUCAUUCAGUUGACAUUAUACAAUUUUAUUGAUGGGAUAGAGGAUGAGACACAAACAGAGACAUAAAAUCUUAACCCCCACAACAUAUGCCUAAAGACCUCAAUCAAAAAAUAAAUUUAUGAAAAAGUUGAACUGAAGUAUAUAUCUUGUGCUAAAUUUUACAGGGUGAUUGGAGCCAUUGUCAUUCUUUUAGGGUUGUAUCUAGUGGUGUGGGGUAAAAACAAAGAUUAUGACUCACCACCAAGUCCAAUUAUUAACGAGCAUGUAUUGCCAGAUAAGCAAACUACAGAGAGCAAUGCCAAGGACAAGGAGAAGCCUUCUAAUCACGAGCUUAUCACUAUUAGUAACAUUGGUGCAGGAAACUUAGCUCAAUAUGAACAAGUAUGAAGGGAUACACUAAAUUAAAUCCAAAAAGUUUAGUUAUCCUAUGAUGUUCUACUUUCAGUCUACCAAUCCAAAUGCCAUUUAACAAUCUCAACUAUAUAUAGGCUCCUAGUUAAUUGUUCGACCUUUCGAUUAUGAUGUAAUAGUUAAGGUUUUUAUGUAACAACAUAGCAUGUCAGAAUAUGACAACAAAAUACCAUGUAUUGGAGGGGAAGUGCAUCCAUGUAUUGUAGGUUUGAGAAAAUAUUCCUUCAACAUGCCUAUUGUUGUCAUGCUGGAUUUGUAUUAAGGUUGAAUUGUAUACUUCUUUGUUUUGGCUUUGUUCAUGGUUUUGAAUAUUUGAGUAAGAAUAAUGUUUGGCUCCCAUCCAUUUCCACCUCCAUCUCUUUAAAUGUGAAGAGAAAUUAGAAAAAUAAGGAAUAUGAUAUGUGAUGUGACAGGAAAUGCAGAGAGAUAUAGAAAGAAAAAUGAGUGGAAAAAAAAUGGAAGAGAAAGUGAAGUGUGAAUGCAACAUUACUCAACAUCUCUUUGAGUAAUGAUGCUUAGCACUCCAAAGUUGGACAAUUUGACUAUCUGUGUGUAAGACGGCAUAUAUAUAUAUAUAUAUAUAUAUAUAUAUAUAUAUAUAUAUAUAUAUAUAUUGGAUGUUUGUUAAAUGAAGAGUUAGAACAUGGACUCUAAUCUCCUACCUCCCGCAAAGAGUCACUGCACAAACAUUAAAAAAGAAAAUUAAUUAAGAAGAACUCCCUAAAUUUCAAAACGAGAGCAACGUCCAUGACAACCCAAUGGAAAGAGGAAUAACAAGAAAGUCUUUAGGGGCGUUUAUUACAAGUUAUCAAAAAUCAUUUUCGGGUAAGUGGAUUCCCAGGAAUACUAUGAUGAGAAUGUUAUUUCUGACAUCUUUUAAAAAACUGUUUGAUUGAUAAAUUCAAUUCCUAGUAUGUUUUUAAAAUUCAUUUAAUUAAAAUAUUUAAAAAUAUAAAAUUUAAAGGAAAAAGAGAAGUUAGUGGGAAAUAACUUCUAUUUCCAUGGCAAUGCAAGAUAUCAUAUCAUCCAUCCUUGAACAUGGAAAUAAAGUUUGGAGAAAAACAAUGUAAAUUGCAUGUCUGAGAAUCCACAAUAUCUGAGAAUACUUUUUUCUGAAACUUAUACCAAACAUGAGAAUGUUACAUUCCCAACCUAACUUACAUGAGAAUGUUUAAAGAUCCCUUCUACCAAACGCAAGCAAAAUCAUCAGAUAGCAUUUAUUCAUGAAAGGAACCCAUUUAUAAAACCAAAUACAUCAAUCAAUCAAUAAAAGUUUAAACUCACCAAUAUGAAUUGCAUUCAUCUGCUACAUAUUUCAUUCGUGUGAGAAGAAAUAAGCUAAUUAGUACAAGUUUUGACUUGUUUUGACUUUUGAGGUGAAAUGGAUUGUUAUUGUUGAGUAUGGCUCAUGGCGAUCAAAUGCAUUUGAGACCAUCUAUGAUCGCUGGAAUGUACAUGAGACCACCUUUGAGAAGCUUCAACAAUUUAAGGAUGCUACGAUGAUUAUAAAUUAAGAGGGAGUGUUAAAUGAUAGUUAAUUUAUAACUUGAAAAGUUAUGAAUGAGUUAAAUUUUGUUUAUGUCCUUUUAUGCAUUUCUUAGUGGUUACAAGCAUAAUGAUGCUAGAAGUUAAUGUCCUUUAUGUAGUUGCAUAACUUAUAUCCUUUCAUCUUCUCUAUUCACUAGUAUUAAAUAGAGAAGCAUUCUAACUUCUACAUUAAGAAAUAUCAGAAAAAUAAAAAAGUCUCUAUCAUUUUCCUAAAUUUUCUACUACUACACUUCUGCUUCUCCAAGAGGCAUCAAAAGGAAAACAAAACAAGUGAAUGAUAUUAUAAAAUCUAUUCCAUGAUGAGUAAACAUUCAACUAGGCAAAAGGUGAUAAUCAUUGAAAGCAGACACCGGCCUUACUGAGUAUGUUGAUUACUGGGACUCCCCACUUGGUUAUGUAAAAUAGUUGAGCUCCACUAUGUAUAGGUAUAUUGCACUAUAAUAUUCUACUGAAUUUUGAGCACUUGUUUACUAAAUACCUCACCUUCUUAUUUAUAGAAAUGAGAAUUUAGUAAAUUGGUUAUUUUGUUCCAAUUAGCUGAAACGAGAUGGAAGGUUAUAGUCCAAAAUGGUUUCAUAAAGCCAAGCCAUUCAUAUGUGUCGUGUUCAUUCAAUCUGGAUAUGCAGGUAUGGAUGUUCUGUGCAAGGCUGCAUUGAACAAUGGAAUGAGCAAUUAUGUUCUUGUUGUCUACCGUCAUGUUGUUGCCUUUGUUGUCAUGGCUCCUUUUGCAUUGAUCUUGGACAAGUAUGUAUCUCUCUUCCAUGUGUGUGUGAUAGCUUUUAUUUCUUCAGAAUCAAUUACAGAACUCAAAAAGCUAUGUAUUCACAAAAGUUUCACACACAUGUUUAGAUCAGUUCUUCUUUAAUUUCAUCAGAAUCAAUUCUGAAAUGCUUCUCACAAAAAAAGCUGCUGUGCAGAAUUGACUCUGGCUUCCGAAUCAAUUGUAGAAUAGUUCCCGAACAGUAGAAUGAUUUCCAAAUAUUAACUGACCUGAUGCUACAUUCUCUUAACAGGAACAUAAGGCCAAAGAUGACAUUUUCAAUCUUUGUGAAGAUAGUGGCACUGAGCUUGUUAGAGUAAUAAUUAAUUUCUUACAUGACUAAGCUAAACAUAUUCUUCUAUCCUGUGGAAAAAUCUUGCUUAACAUAGAUCUUGCUCUGAUAUGGCAGGCCAGUUAUUGCUCAGAAUCUGUAUUUUUUGGGAAUGAAGUACACAACAGCAACCUUUGCAGUUUCCAUGUACAAUAUCCUUCCUGCCAUCACUUUCCUCAUGGCUUACAUUCUUAAGUACUGUUUCCAUUCCCUACAAUUUAAGAAUAUUUCAAAUUUGAUAAUAAAGCUAAACAGAACAUGGCUCAAUAAUGAGGAUUAUUAAAUAAGUGUACAUAACAUUUUUUAAUACAUAUUGUUACUAAAAAUAAUGUACGACUCAUCUCUUAUUAACUUGGUUUAGGAGGUGUAAAUAAGCGUGACUGUUAUGAAAAAAACAUGGCCGCGUUCCGUUUUAAAAACCUCCAAAACCUUAAUGUCGUGGCCGAAAUCACAUUCAUGAAUGUUGAUUUAAAACCAUGCUUGUAAUCAAAAGAGUUUCUUGUGCCAUUUGUACUCAAUUUAUUAGAAAUUUAAUUUAAGCAUUUUAUUUUC
Molecule: long non-coding RNA, 5786 nt
Filed under: Lotus japonicus
Lineage: Eukaryota; Viridiplantae; Streptophyta; Magnoliopsida; Fabales; Fabaceae
Description: long non-coding RNA (LJAP_LNC001247)
Source: RNAcentral